Molecule: long non-coding RNA, 368 nt
Organism: Mya arenaria
Lineage: Eukaryota; Metazoa; Mollusca; Bivalvia; Myida; Myidae
Exons: 3
Source: RefSeq, a predicted model, not a curated record
CCGUGUGUUAAUACAGACUAAUUUAUUGGUUAACAAGAUGGCGGACUUUUUCAAUGUUUUGAUACUGGCGUUUAUAGUUCCUUUUGUGAGCGCGGGUGGCAAUUGUAACCAAAAGCAUAACUUUCCGGCGGAAUACUGCUUUUAUGGAUGGUGUAUAGAGGACGGGUAUCCAGGCUAUGAAAAAGUUGCUUAAGUCAAGCUGACAGCGAUUUUGAGACCACCAGUCAUGUUCUUGGUGUUGGAGUUAUCGUCGCUAUUGUGGUUGGCUGUGUGAUACGGGUGGUCAUUGUUGUCAGUGUCACCCUCUGCUGUGUCUGCUGUAUGCGGAACUCAAGUAGGACGCAAGGACAGAUCGUCACUUCGGCAGC